RNAcentral lists this ribosomal RNA (429 nucleotides) under Chloroflexota bacterium. RNAcentral's name for it is "Chloroflexi bacterium partial 16S ribosomal RNA". It matches the Rfam family "Bacterial small subunit ribosomal RNA", at positions 355 to 776 of the family's 1533-position model. Lineage: Bacteria; Bacillati; Chloroflexota. The record is from RNAcentral.
UGGGGAAUAUUGCACAAUGGGCGCAAGCCUGAUGCAGCCAUGCCGCGUGUAUGAAGAAGGCCUUCGGGUUGUAAAGUACUUUCAGUCGGGAGGAAGGUGUCAAGGUUAAUAACCUUGGCAAUUGACGUUACCGACAGAAGAAGCACCGGCUAACUCCGUGCCAGCAGCCGCGGUAAUACGGAGGGUGCAAGCGUUAAUCGGAAUUACUGGGCGUAAAGCGCACGCAGGCGGUUGAUUGAGUCAGAUGUGAAAUCCCCGGGCUUAACCCGGGAAUUGCAUCUGAUACUGGUCAGCUAGAGUAUUGUAGAGGGGGGUAGAAUUCCAUGUGUAGCGGUGAAAUGCGUAGAGAUGUGGAGGAAUACCGGUGGCGAAGGCGACCCCCUGGACAAAGACUGACGCUCAGGUGCGAAAGCGUGGGGAGCAAACAGG